UGGCCGCUGAAUAAACGAAGGCCCAAGUAAUAAAUGCUGAAAAUGCACAUUUUUCAUAUCAGCACCUACCCCUCUAAUACAUAUAUUGGUCUUGAACAACGAUCCAGUUAGUAAAAUAAAUUUACUUUUAUACUCUCAUCUGUUCCCACUAUUGGAAGUUUAUUUCACUUCUGCAAUAUCGAGCCUGAGUACAAACUACCAACAAAGAAUUUGGAACCCUGGAGGCAGCAAAUCGAGCACAGUUGGUUGACGCCUGCGGAGAUUGGUGCUUGCGUUUUUAAUUUGGUCAAAGGGUCUGAUUCUGCUUUCUUGCUAGUCAUAAUGGAUCGGUUUACGAAGCAAGAAAAGUAUGCGUUGGUUUUGGUUGAAGACAUUACACAAAAACACCAAGUAGCAAGGAUUUCUAUUUUGCAUCAGAUCAUUAGUCGAUUAAAUAAACAGAGAAAGAGAAGGCGGUUGAAGAAUGUCCUCCCAUACAACAUCUAGGCCGAAUACCUACUCAAAUGAGUCACAUGAAUCGACUUGUGGGUGUUAGCAAUAUAAAUUGUCUCGUUAACCUCCAGAUGGAUCGAAAUGCUUUUGGUAGUUGUGUGGUAUUUUUCGGAUGCAAGGUAAAUUCCUUGACAAGCCUGAGCCGAUCAAUGAAGGUUGUGUAGAUUGGUGGUGGAAGAAUUUUCAGGGUUGUCUCGGUGCGCUUGGUGGAACCUUCAUCAAUGUGUUAGUCGGAGGUGAAGACAAACCAAAAUUCAGGAAUAGGAAUAGGAAGGGCCAAAUCACCACGAAUACUUUAGCUGGGUGUGACAGGCACAUGCGUUUCACCUAUGUCUUGCCGGGUGGGAAGGUUUGCGGGAGAUGCUCGUGUUUUGAGGAGCGCCAUUACUCAACCUAAUGGCUUCAAAGUUCCUAUUGGAAACUAUUACCUCUGUGACAAUGGCUACGCCAAUAGCCUUGGAUUUUUUAACCCAUACAGAGGCGUAAGGUACCACUUAAAAGAAUGGGGCCCAGAUGUAUUAGGCCUCAGAAUCCUAUUGAGUUGUACAAUAUGCGACACACCAAAGCUAGAAACGUUAUUGAAAUGGCGUUAGAUGCGAUGGGGAAUUUUAAGGAGUGCUUCAUUUUACCCGAUCAAAGUUCAAGUUCGUCUCAUCAUGUGUUGCUUCCUACUCCAUAAUUAUGUGCGGGGCAAGAUGGCGGUGGAUCCGUUAGAUGAAUUGAUUGACAAUUGGACUGGCGAUGGGAGUACUGAAGAUGAGUCGAGAGAAACCGACUACGUCGAUGGAAUUCAGGUCACUACGGACUGGAGCCGAUUUAGAGAUGAGAUAGCACAUAAAAUGUGGGCAGAGGUAUGGAUUAGUGUCGAUAUCGAUAACUAGUGUGUUAUGACUUGUUGCUUAUUAAAUUCAUUUUCGAUCUUUUCUUUUUUUCUUUUUCUGUCUGCCGCAAAGAGAGGUCAUCAAACUCAGUAGAGGAUGCCCCAAAUAUGAAGCUUGUAUGCUACCUAUGUGAAAGAGCUACUAAGUCUCCUGUUUUCCUUCGAUCAUUCACCCAUUAUGAUUGAGAACUUUUAUUUAUGUAAGAGACUAUGUUUGUAGAGACACUUUCGUUUCUAUGUUAUAUUGAUUUGGCUGCA
Molecule: long non-coding RNA, 1630 nt
Organism: Salvia hispanica
Lineage: Eukaryota; Viridiplantae; Streptophyta; Magnoliopsida; Lamiales; Lamiaceae
Source: RefSeq, a predicted model, not a curated record